GCGCGCGUAGCUCAAUUGGAUAGAGCAUCGGUCUACGGAACCGAAGGUUGCAGGUUCGAGCCCUGCCGCGCGUA
RNAcentral lists this transfer RNA (74 nucleotides) under Phycisphaerae bacterium. RNAcentral's name for it is "tRNA-Arg". It matches the Rfam family "tRNA". From Rfam's summary of the family: Transfer RNA (tRNA) molecules are approximately 80 nucleotides in length. Their secondary structure includes four short double-helical elements and three loops (D, anti-codon, and T loops). Further hydrogen bonds mediate the characteristic L-shaped molecular structure. tRNAs have two regions of fundamental functional importance: the anti-codon, which is responsible for specific mRNA codon recognition, and the 3' end, to which the tRNAs corresponding amino acid is attached (by aminoacyl-tRNA synthetases). tRNAs cope with the degeneracy of the genetic code in two manners: having more than one tRNA (with a specific anti-codon) for a particular amino acid; and 'wobble' base-pairing, i.e. permitting non-standard base-pairing at the 3rd anti-codon position. The record is from RNAcentral. Lineage: Bacteria; Pseudomonadati; Planctomycetota; Phycisphaerae. RNAcentral also lists the same sequence under 1 other name.